CUGAAACUCGCCUACAUGAAGCUGGAGUUACUAGAAUCGCAGAUCAGAAUGCUGCGGUGAAUGCGUUCCCGGGUCUUGUACACACCGCCCGUCACACCACGGAAGUUGGGGCGCCCGAAGCCACUUAGCUAACCCAUUUGGGAAGCGAGUGUCGAAGGUGAAAUCAAUAACUGGGGUGAAGUCGUAACAAGGUACC
This 196-nucleotide ribosomal RNA is filed under the name uncultured bacterium. RNAcentral's name for it is "partial 16S ribosomal RNA". It matches the Rfam family "Bacterial small subunit ribosomal RNA", at positions 1305 to 1500 of the family's 1533-position model. The record is from RNAcentral.